AGAACGAACGCUGGCGGCAGGCCUAACACAUGCAAGUCGAGCGCCCAGCAAUGGGAGCGGCGGACGGGUGCGUAACACGUGGGAAUGUACCUAUUGGUUCGGAACAACACAGGGAAACUUGUGCUAAUACCGAAUGUGCCCGAGAGGGGAAAGAUUUAUCGCCAAUAGAUCAGCCCGCGUCCGAUUAGCUAGUUGGUGGGGUAAUGGCUCACCAAGGCAACGAUCGGUAGCUGGUUUGAGAGAACGAUCAGCCACACUGGGACUGAGACACGGCCCAGACUCCUACGGGAGGCAGCAGUGGGGAAUCUUGGACAAUGGGGGAAACCCUGAUCCAGCCAUGCCGCGUGAGUGAUGAAGGCCCUAGGGUUGUAAAAACUCUUUCGGCGGGGACGAUAAUGACGGUACCGCAGAAGAAGCUCCGGCUAACUUCGUGCCAAGCAGCCGC
RNAcentral lists this ribosomal RNA (445 nucleotides) under uncultured bacterium. RNAcentral's name for it is "SSU rRNA". It matches the Rfam family "Bacterial small subunit ribosomal RNA", at positions 26 to 518 of the family's 1533-position model. The record is from RNAcentral.